CCCUGAUAAUUGUGAGACAUUGAAAGUUCUUGGUCAUAUUUAUGUUCAGCUUGGGCAGACUGAGAAAUCUCUAGAACUUUUGAGGAAGGCUACAAAAAUUGAUCCACGUGAUGCUCAGGCGUUUCUCGACCUGGGUGAAUUGUUAAUUUCAUCUGAUGCAGGAGCUGCUCUUGAUGCCUUCAAAACUGCAUACAGUCUUCUGAAAAAGGGAGGUCAAGAAGUGCCAAUAGAAGUGCUUAAUAAUAUUGGAGUUA
Molecule: unclassified non-coding RNA, 254 nt
Filed under: Hevea brasiliensis (rubber tree)
Lineage: Eukaryota; Viridiplantae; Streptophyta; Magnoliopsida; Malpighiales; Euphorbiaceae
Source: RNAcentral